GGUUGAGUUGCUGGUGAGGGAUGGAAGGGUGGUAAACUGGGUGGGUGAUUUCCUGAGGAAUAGAAGACAAAGAGUGAGAGUGGCCGAUGGACAGCGAAGGACAACAUUGUGAAGUCGCCUGUUAGUAUGGCAAGUCCACAACGUACAAGCAUUCCCAAAGUUCAAUGAAAGCCCAUAAUUGGAAUUUGGUACCACGUGCCAUUGAGUGGACUAUGUCAAUAAAUAUCUAGCUUGAA
This is a long non-coding RNA of Bacillus rossius redtenbacheri, 236 nucleotides long. RefSeq lists it as uncharacterized. Lineage: Eukaryota; Metazoa; Arthropoda; Insecta; Phasmatodea; Bacillidae. The transcript is spliced from 2 exons. The record is from RefSeq and is a predicted model, not a curated record.